Molecule: ribosomal RNA, 286 nt
Filed under: uncultured Methylomirabilota bacterium
Lineage: Bacteria; Methylomirabilota (SeqCode)
Description: uncultured candidate division NC10 bacterium partial 16S ribosomal RNA
Rfam family: Bacterial small subunit ribosomal RNA
Source: RNAcentral
UCGUGUCGUGAGAUGUUGGGUUAAGUCCCGCAACGAGCACAACCCUCACCUCUUGUUGCCAUCAGGUCAUGCUGGGCACUCUAGAGGAACUGCCCCGGUCAACGGGGAGGAAGGCGGGGAUGACGUCAAGUCAUCAUGCCCCUUACGUCCUGGGCUACACACGUGCUACAAUGGCCGGUACAAAGGGAUGCCACACCGCGAGGUAGAGCUAAACCCAAAAAGCCGGUCUAAGUUCAGAUUGGAGUCUGCAACUCGACUCCAUGAAGGAGGAAUCGCUAGUAAUCGC